RNAcentral lists this ribosomal RNA (1441 nucleotides) under uncultured organism. Its description in RNAcentral is "SSU rRNA". It matches the Rfam family "Bacterial small subunit ribosomal RNA". The record is from RNAcentral.
UUUACAGGCUUAACACAUGCAAGUCGAGGGGCAGCAUUUUAGUUUGCUUGCAAACUGAAGAUGGCGACCGGCGCACGGGUGAGUAACACGUAUCCAACCUGCCGAUAACUCCGGGAUAGCCUUUCGAAAGAAAGAUUAAUACCGGAUAGCAUACGAAUAUCGCAUGAUAUUUUUAUUAAAGAAUUUCGGUUAUCGAUGGGGAUGCGUUCCAUUAGUUUGUUGGCGGGGUAACGGCCCACCAAGACUACGAUGGAUAGGGGUUCUGAGAGGAAGGUCCCCCACAUUGGAACUGAGACACGGUCCAAACUCCUACGGGAGGCAGCAGUGAGGAAUAUUGGUCAAUGGGCGCGAGCCUGAACCAGCCAAGUAGCGUGAAGGAUGAAGGCUCUAUGGGUCGUAAACUUCUUUUAUAUGGGAAUAAAGUUUUCCACGUGUGGAAUUUUGUAUGUACCAUAUGAAUAAGGAUCGGCUAACUCCGUGCCAGCAGCCGCGGUAAUACGGAGGAUCCGAGCGUUAUCCGGAUUUAUUGGGUUUAAAGGGAGCGUAGGUGGAUUGUUAAGUCAGUUGUGAAAGUUUGCGGCUCAACCGUAAAAUUGCAGUUGAAACUGGCAGUCUUGAGUACAGUAGAGGUGGGCGGAAUUCGUGGUGUAGCGGUGAAAUGCUUAGAUAUCACGAAGAACUCCGAUUGCGAAGGCAGCUCACUAGACUGUCACUGACACUGAUGCUCGAAAGUGUGGGUAUCAAACAGGAUUAGAUACCCUGGUAGUCCACACAGUAAACGAUGAAUACUCGCUGUUUGCGAUAUACAGUAAGCGGCCAAGCGAAAGCAUUAAGUAUUCCACCUGGGGAGUACGCCGGCAACGGUGAAACUCAAAGGAAUUGACGGGGGCCCGCACAAGCGGAGGAACAUGUGGUUUAAUUCGAUGAUACGCGAGGAACCUUACCCGGGCUUAAAUUGCAACAGAAUAUAUUGGAAACAGUAUAGCCGUAAGGCUGUUGUGAAGGUGCUGCAUGGUUGUCGUCAGCUCGUGCCGUGAGGUGUCGGCUUAAGUGCCAUAACGAGCGCAACCCUUAUCUUUAGUUACUAACAGGUUAUGCUGAGGACUCUAGAGAGACUGCCGUCGUAAGAUGUGAGGAAGGUGGGGAUGACGUCAAAUCAGCACGGCCCUUACGUCCGGGGCUACACACGUGUUACAAUGGGGGGUACAGAAGGCGGCUACCUGGUGACAGGAUGCUAAUCCCAAAAACCUCUCUCAGUUCGGAUCGAAGUCUGCAACCCGACUUCGUGAAGCUGGAUUCGCUAGUAAUCGCGCAUCAGCCAUGGCGCGGUGAAUACGUUCCCGGGCCUUGUACACACCGCCCGUCAAGCCAUGAAAGCCGGGGGUACCUGAAGUACGUAACCGCAAGGAGCGUCCUAGGGUAAAACUGGUAAUUGGGGCUA